AAAAUGGAUAGAAAUCAUUUGACUGUAAGCAAAAUUAAAAGCUACUUGAAAUUUUCGUUUAAAAGUUAUAUAACUAUUUUAACAUGAGAAUAAAAAUGUGUAAAUGUAUGCUAGUGAAAUUUGCAAAAAAAAAUUAAAAAAUGUACCGCUUGUGAGUUUCAGUGACGUAUAAAAACUAGAAGCUGCAGCGUUAUGAAUAGAAUUCUAAAUUAUGGACUAAAAGCGAAAACAGUAUGGAUGUUAAGCUUUAGCGCCUGCCUGUAAUUAUUAUAUGCCGGAUUUUAUCUAGCCGCUAUCAAUGUUCAUCCGUCGUUUGCAGACUUCAGCUUAUUUGCUAGGUUUACUAUCAAAAAUGAGACAUUUAAGCAGAGCCAAAGCUUGAUUGCUGCUACCAAUCAUAUCGAUAAAGCUGAAUUAUUUGAAAAGAGAACUGUUGGAAUUUUGAUACCUUCAACCACACGUAGAUUGAAAGCUCCUGCAUUUCAUAAGCUAAGCUUACAAACUUUAUGUUUACCAUCCAUUUAUAAAACCAUCGAAAACAAGUAUGUAUACAAGAUUUAUAUCGGAACUGAUCGAGAAAACUAUUUGUAUUCAAUUAAGCGUAAAAUUGAAACCCUCUUUCAUAACGUGAGUGUUUGUGAGGUGUCCGGACAAACGUUUGUAAAAGCCGUAAAUGCUAUAGCUAGAAAGGCUUAUGAUGAAGGUAUGGAUUACUUAGUUUGUAUAAACGAUGACACUUCAUUUGAAACGAAAAACUGGACAUCAGCAGGUUUAAAUGUUCUUCAAUCUUACAGUCCUCCAAAUGUUGAUGUUGUCGGUCCAACAUGCAAAAGUGGGAAUACCGCAAUAUUGACUCAUGAUUUGGUUCAUCGUACGCAUUUAGAUAUAUUCGGAUUUUAUUACCCUUCGUACUUUGACAACUGGUGGACUGAUGACUGGAUUACAAAUCUGUACAAAUCAGAGCGAUCAACUAAACUUGAAUCCUGGGUUGUGAAGCAUCAUCUAAAAUUUCAUGUGACAGUUUUUGGAACACUAGGAGCUACAAUGUGUAUAGUAGAAUUUGACGUUCUUUUAGAUUGCACAAAGGCAAUCAGCUUGGAAACGAGAUUGAUGAGUUUAAGCAAGUGAACACACAAAUUACAAAAAAUCGGUUCUUAAAGCUCCGGGGAAUGGUUAGUUUGUAAAAUUUGUCAUCUUUGCAGACGGUAGAAGUGAUAACGGGGAAAGAAACGUGUAAGCAGAGACUUGCCAGAAUGCGAUGUUACAGAUGCCUGAUUACAAACUUUAUCAUGUGCAGGAGGAUGACAAAUAUACGAACCUCAUUUGCAGAUACAUCAAUAGUGCUAACGAGCACACGUGAACCAGCAACUAGUAGUCCUGAAGAGCAAAAGUGAACAUACAACUUCCUCCGUAGCUACAUUAAUAGUUAAUAAAACAACCGAAGAACCAACAACUCCAUCGGUUGAUAAUACUGAGUCCUCCACUUACACUCAAGCUGAGGACACUGAUUUGUAGACAGGUAUUGGGAGUAUUUUUGCAACUCUACCAAUAUUGAAAAAUGGUACUGUUAAAUUACUAAGUUACAAGCAGCAUUAAUAAUAGUCAUAUCAUCUUCUGUCAUUUCGGUGUGUGUGUGUCUGGCUGUCUGUCUCUCACACAGCUUGUCUGAACUCUAAGUCGAACAUUUCUCACCCGAUGUUCACCAAACUUGAAUAAAAUAUGUCUGAUCAUAAGACCUCUGCCAAGUUCGAUAAUUAGCCAAAUCGGCCCAGAAACAUUGGCAUUAUGGCCCUUUAAUUACCAAAAGAAUGCGCUUUUCUGCGGGCAAAACAUGCCAUAUCCUACUAAUUAUUAGUAUAGGUUACGUUUCGCCUGCACGAAAGCGCAUGCGAAAUUAGUAGUACAGGGUCGUUUUAAGAAAACAAUAUAUAAAGACUGACUUACUAUUUUGAUGAUUAGGCAGUUGUAGGAGACAUGCGUUUUUCUCAAAAACAUCUCUAGUUAUAUUGUUGAAAUAGGUUUAGUGUCAAAUGCAAUGCAUAUUUUGUCUAUUCUCGUAUAUUGUUAAAAUAUUUUCAGUGCCGAAUGCCAUGUAUAAUUUUUGGAAUACUUGUUAUGAUAUUGAUCACAAAUUCUAAUUGUGUUCU
Molecule: long non-coding RNA, 2147 nt
Organism: Mercenaria mercenaria
Lineage: Eukaryota; Metazoa; Mollusca; Bivalvia; Venerida; Veneridae
Exons: 3
Source: RefSeq, a predicted model, not a curated record